This 484-nucleotide ribosomal RNA is filed under the name uncultured bacterium. RNAcentral describes it as "partial 16S ribosomal RNA". It matches the Rfam family "Bacterial small subunit ribosomal RNA", at positions 28 to 507 of the family's 1533-position model. The record is from RNAcentral.
AUUGAACGCUGGCGGCAUGCUUUACACAUGCGAGUCGAACGGCAGCGCGGGCUUCGGCCUGGCGGCGAGUGGCGAACGGGGGAGUAAUGCAUCGGAACGUGCCCAGUAGUGGGGGAUAGCCCGGCGAAAGCGGGAUUAAUACCGCAUACGACCUGAGGGUGAAAGCGGGGGACCGAAAGGCCUCGCGCUAUUGGAGCGGCCGAUGUCGGAUUAGCUAGUUGGUGGGGUAAAGGCUUACCAAGGCGACGAUCCGUAGCUGGUCUGAGAGGACGACCAGCCACACUGGAACUGAGACACGGCCCAGACUCCUGCGGGAGGCCGCAGUGGGGAAUUUUGGACAAUGGGGGCAAGCCUGAUCCAGCCAUGCCGCGUGCGGGAAGAAGGCCUUCGGGUUGUAAACCGCUUUUGUUCGGGAAGAAAUCCUCUGGGCUAAUACCCCGGGGGGAUGACGGUACCGGAAGAAUAAGCACCGGCUAACUACGUG